UGCAAGUCGAACGGUGAACACGGAGCUUGCUCUGUGGGAUCAGUGGCGAACGGGUGAGUAACACGUGAGCAACCUGCCCCUGACUCUGGGAUAAGCGCUGGAAACGGCGUCUAAUACUGGAUAUGUGACGUGACCGCAUGGUCUGCGUCUGGAAAGAAUUUCGGUUGGGGAUGGGCUCGCGGCCUAUCAGCUUGUUGGUGAGGUAAUGGCUCACCAAGGCGUCGACGGGUAGCCGGCCUGAGAGGGUGACCGGCCACACUGGGACUGAGACACGGCCCAGACUCCUACGGGAGGCAGCAGUGGGGAAUAUUGCACAAUGGGCGCAAGCCUGAUGCAGCAACGCCGCGUGAGGGACGACGGCCUUCGGGUUGUAAACCUCUUUUAGCAGGGAAGAAGCGAAAGUGACGGUACCUGCAGAAAAAGCGCCGGCUAACUACGUGCCAGCAGCCGCGGUAAUACGUAGGGCGCAAGCGUUAUCCGGAAUUAUUGGGCGUAAAGAGCUCGUAGGCGGUUUGUCGCGUCUGCUGUGAAAUCCGGAGGCUCAACCUCCGGCCUGCAGUGGGUACGGGCAGACUAGAGUGCGGUAGGGGAGAUUGGAAUUCCUGGUGUAGCGGUGGAAUGCGCAGAUAUCAGGAGGAACACCGAUGGCGAAGGCAGAUCUCUGGGCCGUAACUGACGCUGAGGAGCGAAAGGGUGGGGAGCAAACAGGCUUAGAUACCCUGGUAGUCCACCCCGUAAACGUUGGGAACUAGUUGUGGGGUCCAUUCCACGGAUUCCGUGACGCAGCUAACGCAUUAAGUUCCCCGCCUGGGGAGUACGGCCGCAAGGCUAAAACUCAAAGGAAUUGACGGGGACCCGCACAAGCGGCGGAGCAUGCGGAUUAAUUCGAUGCAACGCGAAGAACCUUACCAAGGCUUGACAUAUACGAGAACGGGCCAGAAAUGGUCAACUCUUUGGACACUCGUAAA
Molecule: ribosomal RNA, 968 nt
Filed under: Microbacterium sp.
Lineage: Bacteria; Bacillati; Actinomycetota; Actinomycetes; Micrococcales; Microbacteriaceae
Also listed under: 1 other name
Description: bacterial SSU rRNA
Rfam family: Bacterial small subunit ribosomal RNA
Source: RNAcentral